Molecule: non-coding RNA, 23 nt
Filed under: Cricetulus griseus (Chinese hamster)
Lineage: Eukaryota; Metazoa; Chordata; Mammalia; Rodentia; Cricetidae
Source: RNAcentral
UUGCUGGGAAUAGAACUCAGGGC